ACGUAGGGUGCGAGCGUUAAUCGGAAUUACUGGGCGUAAAGCGUGUGCAGGCGGUUCGCUAAGUCAGGUGUGAAAUCCCCGGGCUUAACCUCGGAAUGGCGUUUGUGACUGGUGAGCUAGAGUACGGCAGAGGGGGGUGGAAUUCCAGGUGUAGCGGUGAAAUGCGUAGAGAUGUGGAGGAACACCGAUGGCGAAGGCAGCCCCCUGGGCAGAUACUGACGCUCA
This 225-nucleotide ribosomal RNA is filed under the name uncultured prokaryote. Its description in RNAcentral is "partial 16S ribosomal RNA". It matches the Rfam family "Bacterial small subunit ribosomal RNA", at positions 525 to 749 of the family's 1533-position model. The record is from RNAcentral.